This 425-nucleotide ribosomal RNA is filed under the name uncultured rumen bacterium. Its description in RNAcentral is "bacterial SSU rRNA". It matches the Rfam family "Bacterial small subunit ribosomal RNA", at positions 354 to 776 of the family's 1533-position model. The record is from RNAcentral.
GUGGGGAAUAUUGGUCAAUGGGCGCGAGCCUGAACCAGCCAAGUAGCGUGCAGGAUGACGGCCCUAUGGGUUGUAAACUGCUUUUAUGCGGGGAUAAAGUGAGGGACGUGUCCCUUUUUGUAGGUACCGCAUGAAUAAGGACCGGCUAAUUCCGUGCCAGCAGCCGCGGUAAUACGGAAGGUCCGGGCGUUAUCCGGAUUUAUUGGGUUUAAAGGGAGCGCAGGCUGAUUGUUAAGCGUGACGUGAAAUGUAGCCGCUCAACGGCUGAACUGCGUCGCGAACUGGCAGUCUUGAGUGAGUACGACGUCAGCGGAAUUCGUGGUGUAGCGGUGAAAUGCUUAGAUAUCACGAAGAACCCCGAUUGCGAAGGCAGCUGACGAGUCCUUUACUGACGCUAAAGCUCGAAGGUGCGGGUAUCGAACAGG